UACGAAGGGGGCUAGCGUUGGUCGGAAUCACUGGGCGUAAAGCGCACGUAGGCGGACUCUUAAGUCGGUGGUGAAAUCCUGGAGCUCAACUCCAGAACUGCCUUUGAUACUGGCAACCUAGAGGCUGGAAGAGGUUAGUGGAAUUCCCAGUGUAGAGGUGAAAUUCGUAGAUAUUGGGAAGAACACCAGUGGCGAAGGCGGCUAACUGGUCCAGAUCUGACGCUGAGGUGCGAAAGCGUGGGGAGCAAACAGG
This 253-nucleotide ribosomal RNA is filed under the name uncultured bacterium. RNAcentral describes it as "partial 16S ribosomal RNA". It matches the Rfam family "Bacterial small subunit ribosomal RNA", at positions 524 to 776 of the family's 1533-position model. The record is from RNAcentral.